UUCCGGUUGAUCCUGCCGGACCCCACUGCUAUCGGGAUGAGACUAAGACAUGCUAGUCGUGCACCUCCAAGCCACGGUGGAGGCGCGGCGCACAGCUCAAUAACACGUGGCUAACCUACCCUUGGGACGGAAAUAACCCCGGGAAACUGGGGCUAAUUUCCGAUAGGUGAAGAUUCCUGGAAUGGAUCUUCGCCGAAAAGGCGUCUAGACCAUGCUUCUAGGCGCUGCCCAAGGAUGGGGCCGCGGCCGAUCAGGUUGUUGGUGAGGUAACGGCUCACCAAGCCUAUAACCGGUACGGGCCGUGGGAGCGGUAGCCCGGAUAUGGGCACUGAGACAAGGGCCCAGGCCCUACGGGGCGCAGCAGUCGCGAAACCUCCGCAAUACGCGAAAGCGUGACGGGGUCAUCCCGAGUGCCGUCCGCUGAGGAUGGCUUUUCCCAAGUCUAAAAAGCUUGGGGAAUAAGGGGAGGGUAAGUCUGGUGUCAGCCGCCGCGGUAAUACCCGCUCUCCGAGUGGUGGGGACGCUUAUUGGGCCUAAAGCAUCCGUAGCCGGCUGGACAAGUCCCCUGUUAAAUCCAGCGAUUUAAUCGUUGGACUGCGGGGGAUACUGUCCGGCUAGGGGGCGGGAGAGGCCGACGGUAUUUCCGGGGUAGGGGUGAAAUCCUAUAAUCCCGGGAGGACCACCAGUGGCGAAGGCUGUCGGCUAGAACGCGCCCGACGGUGAGG
RNAcentral lists this ribosomal RNA (725 nucleotides) under uncultured archaeon. RNAcentral describes it as "bacterial SSU rRNA". It matches the Rfam family "Archaeal small subunit ribosomal RNA", at positions 1 to 702 of the family's 1478-position model. The record is from RNAcentral.